This 253-nucleotide unclassified non-coding RNA is filed under the name uncultured Chlamydiales bacterium. Its description in RNAcentral is "contains 16S-23S intergenic spacer region". It matches the Rfam family "Bacterial small subunit ribosomal RNA", at positions 524 to 776 of the family's 1533-position model. The record is from RNAcentral. Lineage: Bacteria; Pseudomonadati; Chlamydiota; Chlamydiia; Chlamydiales.
GACGGAGGGUGCAAGCGUUAAUCGGAUUUAUUGGGCGUAAAGGGCGCGUAGGCGGGGAUAUAAGUCAGAUGUGAAAUCCCGGGGCUCAACUCCGGAACGGCAUUUGAAACUAUAUUCCUUGAGGGUAGAAGGAGAGAACGGAAUUCCACGUGUAGCGGUGAAAUGCGUAGAUAUGUGGAAGAACACCGGUGGCGAAGGCGGUUCUCUAUUUUAUUCCUGACGCUGAGGCGCGAAAGCAAGGGGAUCAAACAGG